ACACGAGGCGAGCACGGCACCGCCAAAUGCAGCAGCAGAAAGUGGAAGGAGGACUCAGAACGCUGAGACCAGAGGAGCCGCGGGCGCGCCUGCCCAGGAAGGGUGUGGCUUCCCGUCCGCUCCCCCGUGGACGGGCAGAGCUCCUGCCUCCCUAGGGAUGUUGGUUUCCAAGGGCCUCUCGCCCCUCGCACUGCACUGGAUUUUGUUCUCCUUGGGAAUUGCGGCCGCAGUCCUGCUGACUUUCCGGGGCUGUCACCCAGGAGUGCUGCAGGGGCGUGCAAGGUUGCAAAUGGAACAACGGAUAAUCACUCUGCUGAUCAUUAGUACAUGACGACCACUAGCUCAGAUCAACUGACUCUUUGCCUUUGUCCUUUUCCUGUAAGUUUUAAGUGUAAACCCCCCUUUUCAGCCCUAUAUAAAAUGGCCUCUGUUUCUUAGCUGGCCGCCUCUCUGAGCUACUUGGCUUGGGGAGUGCCGUCUGGCCAGACUAAUAAAGGUCUAUUAGCCAACUUGCCUGGUGUGUUCCUUCCUGGGUGACUCUCGCUAUCGGACAAGCUCCUGGAGCCUCGCUGAGCUGCUGAGCCCAGCAUCGUGAAGGCCUCUUGGCUGUUCACGCUCCAG
Molecule: long non-coding RNA, 621 nt
Filed under: Fukomys damarensis (Damara mole-rat)
Lineage: Eukaryota; Metazoa; Chordata; Mammalia; Rodentia; Bathyergidae
Description: lncRNA (ENSFDAG00000030429.1)
Source: RNAcentral